RNAcentral lists this small RNA (568 nucleotides) under fungal sp. JH 10. RNAcentral describes it as "eukaryotic LSU rRNA". The stretch from base 208 to 361 matches the Rfam family "5.8S ribosomal RNA". The record is from RNAcentral. Lineage: Eukaryota; Fungi.
CUUCCGUAGGGUGAACCUGCGGAAGGAUCAUUACAAGUGAGGCUACCGAACGUUGGAAACAGCGGUUAGGAGCUUACACCCACCCGUGUCUACAUACUAUUGUUGCUUUGGCGGGCCGUGGCCUCCACUGCGGGCUCUGCUCGUGUGUGCCCGCCAGAGAACCAAACUCUGAAUGUUAGUGAUGUCUGAGUACUAUCUAAUAGUUAAAACUUUCAACAACGGAUCUCUUGGUUCUGGCAUCGAUGAAGAACGCAGCGAAAUGCGAUAAGUAAUGUGAAUUGCAGAAUUCAGUGAAUCAUCGAAUCUUUGAACGCACAUUGCGCCCUGUGGUAUUCCGCAGGGCAUGCCUGUUCGAGCGUCAUUUAACCACUCACGCCUAGCGUGGUAUUGGGGCACGCGGUCUCCGCGGCCCUCAAAAUUAGUGGCGGCGCCGGUGGGCUCUAAGCGUAGUACAUACUCCCGCUAUAGAGUUCCCCCGGUGGCUCGCCAGAACCCCCAAUUGUUACAGGUUGACCUCGGAUCAGGUAGGGAUACCCGCUGAACUUAAGCAUAUCAAUAAGCGGAGGAA